RNAcentral lists this ribosomal RNA (433 nucleotides) under uncultured bacterium. Its description in RNAcentral is "partial 16S ribosomal RNA". It matches the Rfam family "Bacterial small subunit ribosomal RNA", at positions 29 to 507 of the family's 1533-position model. The record is from RNAcentral.
AGCGAACGCUGGCGGCAGGCUUAACACAUGCAAGUCGAGCGGGCACUUCGGUGUCAGCGGCAGACGGGUGAGUAACACGUGGGAACGUACCCUUCGGUUCGGAAUAACGCUGGGAAACUAGCGCUAAUACCGGAUACGCCCUUUUGGGGAAAGGUUUACUGCCGAAGGAUCGGCCCGCGUCUGAUUAGCUAGUUGGUGGGGUAAUGGCCUACCAAGGCGACGAUCAGUAGCUGGUCUGAGAGGAUGAUCAGCCACACUGGGACUGAGACACGGCCCAGACUCCUACGGGAGGCAGCAGUGGGGAAUAUUGGACAAUGGGCGCAAGCCUGAUCCAGCCAUGCCGCGUGAGUGACGAAGGCCUUAGGGUUGUAAAGCUCUUUUGUCCGGGACGAUAAUGACGGUACCGGAAGAAUAAGCCCCGGCUAACUUCGUG